AGAGUUUGAUCCUGGCUCAGGAUGAACGCUAGCUACAGGCUUAACACAUGCAAGUCGAGCGGAAUGCCUUCGGGCAUUUAGCGGCAGACGGGUGAGUAACACGUAUCCAACCUUUCCCUUACUCGGGUAUAGCCUCGGGAAACUGAGAGUAAUCCCCGAUGUGGUGUACGCUUCGCAUGUAAUGCACACCAAAGAUUAAUCGGUAAGGGGUGGGGAUGCGUUCCAUUAGGUAGUAGGCGGGGCAACGGCCCACCUAGCCGAUGAUGGAUAGGGGUUCUGAGAGGAAGGUCCCCCACAUUGGAACUGCGACACGGUCCAAACUCCUACGGGAGGCAGCAGUGAGGAAUAUUGGUCAAUGGGCGAGAGCCUGAACCAGCCAAGUAGCGUGCAGGAUGACGGCCCUAUGGGUUGUAAACUGCUUUUGUACGGGAAUAACGUUGUGCUCGUGAGCGUAAGUGCAUGUACCGUACGAAUAAGGAUCGGCUAACUCCGUGCCAGCAGCCGCGGUAAUACGGAGGAUCCGAGCGUUAUCCGGAUUUAUUGGGUUUAAAGGGAGCGUAGGCGGAGGAUCAAGUCAGCUGUGAAAUGUAGAUGCUCAACAUCUGCACUGCAGUUGAAACUGGUUCCCUUGAGUGCGUAAGAGGCAGGCGGAAUUCGUCGUGUAGCGGUGAAAUGCUUAGAUAUGACGAAGAACUCCGAUCGCGAAGGCAGCUUGCCGGGCCGCGACUGACGCUGAAGCUCGAAGGUGCGGGUAUCGAACAGGAUUAGAUACCCUGGUAGUCCGCACAGUAAACGAUGGAUACUCGCUGUCGGCGAUAUACGGUCGGUGGCCAAGCGAAAGCGUUAAGUAUCCCACCUGGGGAGUACGCCGGCAACGGUGAAACUCAAAGGAAUUGACGGGGGCCCGCACAAGCGGAGGAACAUGUGGUUUAAUUCGAUGAUACGCGAGGAACCUUACCCGGGCUCAAACGACAGCGGACCCAUCCUGAAAGGGAUGCUCCAGCAAUGGUCGCUGUCGAGGUGCUGCAUGGUUGUCGUCAGCUCGUGCCGUGAGGUGUCGGCUUAAGUGCCAUAACGAGCGCAACCCCCAUCUUCAGUUGCCACCGCGUGAUGGCGGGCACUCUGGAGAGACUGCCGGCGCAAGCUGUGAGGAAGGCGGGGAUGACGUCAAAUCAGCACGGCCCUUACGUCCGGGGCGACACACGUGUUACAAUGGCGGGGCACAGCAGGAAGCCAGGCGGCGACGCCGAGCCGAUCCCUAAAACCCGUCUCAGUUCGGAUCGGAGUCUGCAACCCGACUCCGUGAAGCUGGAUUCGCUAGUAAUCGCGCAUCAGCCAUGGCGCGGUGAAUACGUUCCCGGGCCUUGUACACACCGCCCGUCAAGCCAUGGAAGCUUGGAGUGCCUGAAGUCCGUGACCGCGAGGAGCGGCCAAGGGUAAGACAAGUGACUGGGGCUAAGUCGUAACAAGGUAGCCGUA
RNAcentral lists this ribosomal RNA (1479 nucleotides) under uncultured rumen bacterium. RNAcentral's name for it is "bacterial SSU rRNA". It matches the Rfam family "Bacterial small subunit ribosomal RNA". The record is from RNAcentral.